This 3409-nucleotide long non-coding RNA is filed under the name Triticum aestivum (bread wheat). Its description in RNAcentral is "long non-coding RNA (TAES_LNC002103)". The record is from RNAcentral. Lineage: Eukaryota; Viridiplantae; Streptophyta; Magnoliopsida; Poales; Poaceae.
CUCCUUUUCCCCUUGUCUCGCUACUGCUCCUCCACCUCUCUCCUUCCCUUUCCCCCCUUGCCGCUUCUCCGAGUCCCCAUGCUGCUACUUCUUCUCUGAACCUCUCUCUUAACGCUGUUGCUGCUCUCUCUCUCUCAACCUUCUCUGAACCUGCUGCUGAACCCUACGCCCCUGCUGCCCUUCUUCUCUCCGUGCUGCUUCUACUCCAUCUCCUGGAACCCCUGCUGUUCUUCUUCACAAUCUGAACCUCAACCUCCUACUGCUUCCUCUCCUGCGUCUCCACUGCUGCUCCUUUCCCAACCUUGCUGCUGCUCUCUCUCUCUCUCUCUCUCUCUCUCUUUGAUCUCAAAUUUCUCUAAUCUUGAGAAGUUUAUUGCUCAGUACUCUGUAAUAUUCAAAAUUGAGAUGUUUAGUACAUGUAAUAUUCAGAUUUGAUAAGAGCUUGCAACCUGACAAUUGUUCAGUUUCAUACUUGUAAAAUAUAGUGCAUUUUAUUAUGUGCUCUGACUAGUUUAGUAUGUGUGAUAUGCUCUGUGAUAUAGUAAUCUUCUAGUAUAUGUGUGUGAUCCCCUAUGUGUUUGUUUCUUGACUUGUGAUUGUUUAGUACUACUCAUUUUGUUGAUCUAUGAGCACUAGAAUUAUGUCUUGUAACUCCCCUGUUCGCAUAUGUGUGAUGUGUGUUCUGUAGUCCUUGUGUUAACUAUGUUCAUGCGAGAAUAGACAUGUUUGUGUUGUGAUAUAUUUCUGUCUGUCAUAGUAUUGUUUCUACCCUUUUGUUCACUUUCUCAAAUAAAACAAAAUACCAAAAAGACAGUGAGUAAAAUCUGAAUCUCCCUAUGCUAUUUUGCAUUUUAUUUGGUGACAAUCAUUGAUAGUUUAGGUUUAUUUUCUGUUUCCAUCUCCCAAUAUAGUGUCACCUAGCUUUAGCUGAGCGUAGUCGCUGAUCGCCUAGUCCCUAUGGAGAACAUGACACUCGCAGUUUGGGCGUAAAAACCCCACCAUACUUACACUCGAUCAUUGAUAUAUACCCUGUUAGUGGCAUUACUCUCGUUUGUGAUUAUCAUAGUUACUUUCCUCGUGCUAGUCCUAUGCUUAAUGAAACAUAUCAUUCCCAUGCUAGUCUUGAGCUUAAUGAUAAAUGUCAUCCUCAUGUGAGUGUUGAACUUACUGAUUUCUACCAUCCUAAACAUGUGCUUUAUAGUUAUGCUUAUGUAAUUGGAUACUUGAUUGAUGACUUGGUGUUUAUUAUCCCUACCGCUUGCAUUGUCACUUUUGUGGAGUGUUCUUUCAGGUUUUUGCUUCUGCACCGUUCACUUCAUGCUGACCAGGUUCGAGGUGACAUCCCUUGGGACCCCGGUGGACCCAUGGCAUGGUGAUGAGGAGAAGCAAGGGUGCACAUGAAGAGUGAAGCUGGAGCGUCCAUGAGGAUAGAGAAGCAAAAGGAGAAGAGGUGCAGCUUAGAGAGUGAUCGAGCAAGUGCUACAUCAUCAAAGCCCGGUGAGAUGUUUCAUGACCCAUUUUGAAAUCAUCAUCCAUUGAUGCUUGCUGAAUUGAAUUGCUAUUUGGGUUGCUUGUGCCAUUUCUUAAAUGUUGUCCCACUGAAUUUCACCUUUGACAUAUGGUGCUUGAUGAGAAUAUGUGAACUGAUUGUUGAAUGCCUUGUAAACUAGUGAUCUACACCCUGUUUGCUCUGCUGAAAGUAGUGAAAGCUAUUAGUUUUGAGUGCUCAAAUACCUAGUGCACUAGUAAACUUAAUCAUUUUCUGCUUUUACCUUGAUACACUUAGAUCAUUAAGUGUUAGAUGCUGAGUUUGUGCCUAUUGUGUUCCCAUUGAGAGCAAUCACUUUACCACUAUGGACUAGUAUGCUAUGUUCCCUGGAUCGGUAGCAUGUGAACCAGACAUGGAGUGAUGAUUCCUGUUUUUUGUGCUUAUCUGUUGUUCAUUUAAGAUAAGUAAUAAUGAAUAAAUAAGUCUGACUACCUACAGUAGCAUGUCAUGUUCCCUGGAUCGGUGGCAUGUGAAAUCGGGUUAGCUUGGGCAGUAAUUAAUAAUAAAAAUGUAAUUGUCGAACCAGGUGUAUACCAUGUUCUCUGGAUCGGUGGUAUGUUAGACAAACAAAAAAAACUAAUAAUUGGUCGAGCCGGGUGUAUACCAUGUUCUCGGGAUCGGUGGUAUGUUCCUUUGGUGAGAUCGAUAAAAUAUUAUCAUUGCUUUAUUUCUGUAAAUAAGUGAUCUGAUCACAAGUUCAUGUUCUUUUUGUUCUCGGGAUCAUGCUCUCUUUAGGAACCUUUGGCACAAUCAUCAUUUGAACUAGUUGAUCUUCUUUUAUCAUUGUAAACGUUUAAAAUGGUCAAGUCUACUAGUAUCCUACCGCUUUGAAGCACUCCUAACCAUUAAUUUCACUAGCUAAGUCCAAAGCAUGCACUGUUUAGAGAUCUACUUCACUUGGCAUUCUCUAGUCAGUUUUCUAUUCACUAUCGAGUUCGUGUCAUAUGCCUUUACUUGAGGACAAGUAAAGAUUUAAGUGUGGGGGAACUUGAUAAGCACAUUUCACUUAUAUAAUUUGGCACUCAAAUAUACCAUAUAUUGUGAUCUGACCAUCAAUUCUUGCUAUGAACUGUUGCAUAUUUGAAUGAUAAUCACAAAAAAAGAUCAUUUACUAGUCUAUGGUCUAUUUUGCAGAAAUGUGCGCAAAGGCACUAAUAAUCGUCAAGAUUCUGUCUAUGCGGCUAUCGAGAAGAGUGAAGAAGAGAAGAGAAGAAGAAGAGACCUGUGUGAGAUGAAAAGAAGUAACCAGGGGCUAGAUAAAGAAGUGGGAGGAUCUUGUUGUGUAGAAAGUUGAGAAGAGAAGGGCCAAAGAGUAAAAGUGGCAGAUCAGGGAGGGGAUCAAAAUCCCUAGCGCUGCUCCAUUCCCAAAUCGGGCCUGGCAUAUCUCCAUCUCCCUCACCCCACCUUCUCCACCACCAGCCACCGCCGCGGCCAGGCCGGCGUGGCGCUACCGCGCCAUCACCAGCAUCCACCAGCACCGAUCCAUCUCCACGCCUCUCUCUCUCUCAACCUUCUCUGAACCUGCUGCUGAACCCUACACCUCUGCUGCCCUUAUUCUCUCCGUACUGCUUCUACUCCAUCUCCUAGAACCCCUGCUGUUCUUCUUCACAAUCUGAACCUCAACCUCCUGCUGCUUCCUCUCCCGCGUCUCCACUGCUUCUCCUUUCCCAACCUCUCUCUGAUCUCAAAUUUCUGUAAUCUUGAGAAGUUUAUUGAUCAGUACUUUGUAAUAUUCAAAAUUGAGAUGUUUAGUACAUGUAACAUUCAGAUUUGAUUAGAGCUUGCAACCUGACAAUUGUUCAGUUUCGUACUUGUAAAAUAUAGUGCAUUUUAUUAUGUGCUCUGACUAGUUAAUGUCUA